GGCCCUGCCUACCGGCGACCCCGCUGCCGCCUCUCGGGGCGCCUGGGGUCUGGCGGGGCC
Molecule: microRNA precursor, 60 nt
Filed under: Cordylochernes scorpioides
Lineage: Eukaryota; Metazoa; Arthropoda; Arachnida; Pseudoscorpiones; Chernetidae
Source: RNAcentral